UCUAUCCAAGUGCAUCAAGCAAAAUGUGAGUAAAGAAAGUUUGACCAAAGGAUUGAUAGUAAUGUUGAAUACAUUUAAUAGUAGAUCUAAGAUUAAAAGGUGAAAGUGAGCGUGAGAAGAGUGUAAGAAUGCUUUGUGUUCUGACAAAGAGAAUGUAGCACCCAGGUCCUACCUGCUUGGAUGCAUUGCCAGUGCCCACGGUAGGCCAUUUUAUCCAGGUUUUUAGGUUUUGUCUUGUUUUGUUUGGUUUUUUUCUUUUCAGGAGUGUUAGUCCAAGACCAAUAACUCCGUAACUGGUAGAUUUGGAAGACUUUAAUAGUGCUUAACAUUCUGUAAAUAGCUUUAUAUCAGUUUUCUUUUUCUUUUUUUCUGAGAGAUUCUUUUCAAUAUACCCCAUCAUGGUUGAACUCAAAAAUCAUUGCUUAUUUAAAAUCUACAACUGCUGACGUUUUGUAACGUUCGCAUUCCAGAUACAACAGAGAAAUGCAUAAUGUCCAGUCAAUUUAUUAAAGUUCCAAACUCGGUGGCACGCAGUGGCUCACGCCUGUAAUCUCAACACUUCGGGAGACCGAGGCGUGUGGAUCACGAGGAGUGAGGACACAGCGAAAGUGAGACAAGGAAAAGAGAACAAAAUAAAACAGGAAAGAUAGAAAAGCCAAUACCACACGUGUUAAGAGUAACAAGCUCCCGUGCUGCUAGAGAAAGUCCUCAGCUAGAAACUGGUGCAAAUUCUGGAGAUGAGACCUUGUAGAGUGUUAAGAAUGGUUUUCUUCCCAGCAGCUACAGGGCAGAGAAGACCCAGAGAAAGCCCAAGUGGCUGCUGGAACAAAGUCAGACACCGUGCCACCUGUCCACACUCCUUGGCUCUGCCAUCAUGCUGAAGAUCGCUUUAAAGGACUGGCUUCCCUCCCCCCAAAAUUAAAAGAGCACAGACUGAGAAACUGAAUGUGGGAGACAGCAGUGGAUUAUGCUGUUCUCAGAGCUCACCUCAGGUUUGGAAGCAUUCUUUCAAAUUAACCCAUCUCAGGCCGUCUGCAGAGAAGAAAGGUGGUACCUAACUUUUUUUCUUGUCAGCAUUUGGUAGGGGUGUUUUAUUGACCAAAUAUUUUCCCACAACCUAGUUUUUUGUGACUAACUAAAUAUAGUAGAGUUUUAAAUUUUAUCAUCAAAAUCUAUAGACAAUUUUUGAUGAAAAUAGACUCCAUAUCUAUGUCCUGCUUUUCUUCUUCUUAUUAAUUACAUUGCUGUAUAAAAGAACAAGACUUCAGAAUCAAGAAUAUCUUGUCUCUUGGCAUUGAAUUUAUACAAGGUGCUCUUUCUUUAAUGCUUAUCAAAGGACAUAUUUUUACUCAUUAAAAAGGAAGAUCGGAAUCUAGUUGUAUGCACUGCUCCAACAUAUUAAUAAUUAAAAUUAGGAGGUAAAUGUGGUCAAAGCUAUAGAAAGACUGAGAUGUCAUUUAUAUUGAUUACUGUCUAGCCCUCUACAAACAGAAAUUGUUAAAUAAUAGUUUAUACAAAUAUUUUGUAGCAUUUCAAAUAUUUGAGUGCUUGAAGUUUCUCCUCUUCUAUAGUUCAGAUUAUCAAUUUGAAGACUUACUCCGCUAGUUAAUAUGUUUUUAGUCUCGUUUGAGUAUUAUGUAAAAGCAAUUUUCAGUUAAAUGUGUUUCUCUUACAUAAAACAUUACGAAUUAUUGAGGAUUUAAUUACUUAUUCAUGUUCCUGUAAUGUCUUUAGAAGAUUUUCUUAUUAUUACCUAUCAAUAUAUGUAUGCUUUGUCAAAGAAAAAUCAAACAUAUAUAUCAUUGAAAUUGAAACUUUUUAAAAUUACUUAUUCCAUUGAAAAACCACAUCCAUAGGAACACUUACAAUAUAAUAUUGUGAACAUGUAAACAUAUACCCUAUAUCUAUUUUAUGUAUAAGCAUGUAUGAUUAAAAAUAUAGUGAAUAAUUUUUAAACCUAGUAUUAUAAAGUAAAAAUUUGUUAACUUCUGAUGAUUAUUUGUUAAUUAAGAUAAAAUUAUUUUGAUUUGGGUGAUUUUAAAUAAAGAAAAAUAUUAAAUUACAUGACAAAAAUUCUUUAUAAAAUGUUUAUGAUUUUUACAUUGGUUUUAUCACUUUUUCCACUAUUUUAUUUUAAGAUGACCUGCCUGAUUUAAAACACUGUAUUCAUCUUAAUUAAAUUAAAUUCCAUUUGUAAAAAAAUUAACAAAUGAUUUGCUUUAUUGUACAGUGCGGUUAUAAACUGAGUCAGUAUCUCAAGAUUUGAUCCCCAUUAUCAUCAUCUGUGGUCCUAUUUGUUUUAUAAAUGUAUUGUCUUUUUCCAUGCCUGUCACAUCUCUAUUGCUCUUUCAUUUUUCUCUUUGUCCCUUAUAGGGAGCAUUGCCUAUCUCUAGAUUAAGAAAAAGUUGCAUCAUAACAAAGCACAAUAACCUACUCAAUCUUUCUCACACAGAGAAAUGUUUGUUAAGUAAUUAAAGUGAAGAUGAUUAUACAAAGAGCUUGAAUAAAUUAGAUGCCAAAGUACCCUUGUGAUUCAGAAUAUGAAUGGUAUUUAAUUUCUUUGAAAUCAUUAAUUGCUGAGUGACAUUAAUUAAUGCCAAUAUUCCAGAAGAUGUUCUAGUGAGUGAAAUGUAUACAAUAUGCAAAAGAUUCAGAACUCUGAAGGGCAUCAUUAUUCUAUAAUUAAGAAUUAAUUCACAUUAAUUAUUGGGGAGAAAUAAUUAUUAAGAAUUAAUGAAUGAGAAAAUGUUUUUAUUUUUUAUUUAGAAAAUUAUUUUGUGCAUGAGCAUUACCGCAAGUUUUGCAAGAAACAUAAAUUUAAAGAAACAAUUAUGUGCACAAGAUGAAUUUAAUAACAUCUUGAUAUAUUCCACGAUUGCGGUUUUAUUUGGUAAAUCUUUAAAUGCACACCAUUUAAAGAUAAUAAAUGAAUCUUGGAAACCUUGUAGGUAAGGGUAAAUAUGAGGAUGCAUCCAGUUACAUUUACACACACAUACAGUUACAUUUACACACGCAUACAUGCAUACAGACUGAUUCACGUGUGUAUAUAUAUAUAUAUGAAUUUACUAACUGAUGCUAACUAGUAUUUAUACGAGCCAGUUGGAUUGAUAUAUAUUGUUGAACCUGAGAAAUAUUUAUUGUAUACAUGUUUAAAAUACACUCAGAAAUAAAUACUAAUUGCACUAGGCAUUUGAAACUAUACUAAAAUAUAAGCUGUGAAUAUUUUUUGAUCAUUACAAAUUCUUACACUGAAUAAAUAUUUCUUUUUUUACAAUAUU
Molecule: long non-coding RNA, 3278 nt
Organism: Pan troglodytes (chimpanzee)
Lineage: Eukaryota; Metazoa; Chordata; Mammalia; Primates; Hominidae
Exons: 5
Source: RefSeq, a predicted model, not a curated record